This 72-nucleotide transfer RNA is filed under the name Spirochaetota bacterium. RNAcentral describes it as "Spirochaetes bacterium tRNA-Gln". It matches the Rfam family "tRNA". Rfam says of the family: Transfer RNA (tRNA) molecules are approximately 80 nucleotides in length. The record is from RNAcentral. Lineage: Bacteria; Pseudomonadati; Spirochaetota.
ACCGGAUUAGUAUAAUUGGCAGUACAACUGGUUCUGGUCCAGUUAGUUGAGGUUCGAAUCCUUGAUCCGGUG